RNAcentral lists this transfer RNA (73 nucleotides) under Saccoglossus kowalevskii. RNAcentral's name for it is "tRNA-Tyr". It matches the Rfam family "tRNA". From Rfam's summary of the family: Transfer RNA (tRNA) molecules are approximately 80 nucleotides in length. The record is from RNAcentral. Lineage: Eukaryota; Metazoa; Hemichordata; Enteropneusta; Harrimaniidae. RNAcentral also lists the same sequence under 1 other name.
CCUUCGAUAGCUCAGUUGGUAGAGCGGAGGACUGUAGAUCCUUAGGUCGCUGGUUCGAAUCCGCCUCGAAGGA